UACGGAGGGUGCGAGCGUUAAUCGGAAUUACGGGGCGUAAAGCGCGCGUAGGUGGUUUGGUAAGUCGGAUGUGAAAGCCCCGGGCUUAACCUGGGAACUGCAUUCGAUACUGCCUUACUGGAGUGUGGUAGAGGGUAGUGGAAUUCCAGGUGUAGCGGUGAAAUGCGUAGAUAUCUGGAGGAACAUCAGUGGCGAAGGCGGCUACCUGGACCAACACUGACACUGAGGCGCGAAAGCGUGGGGAGCAAACAGG
RNAcentral lists this ribosomal RNA (253 nucleotides) under uncultured bacterium. Its description in RNAcentral is "partial 16S ribosomal RNA". It matches the Rfam family "Bacterial small subunit ribosomal RNA", at positions 524 to 776 of the family's 1533-position model. The record is from RNAcentral.